CUGAGUUAGAUUACGAAGAUAAAUCUGACUCUUGACUCUGAUGAGGUAGAUUUUAACUACGUUUAAGUAGUGCAACGUUUUUUUUCUUUUUUUUUGAUGAGUUGUGAGUAGCAUAGACUCACUUAAUUUGUUGAGAGCCAUGAUCUUGAUACUGAUUUCGGAAAUGUGAGGCAUGUUUUCUUUAUUUAGUUUUAGAUGGGUUCAAAUGAUGAUAAGUCAGAAGAAGAGGAGGAAACAACAGUAAAGGUAUUUUCAUAAAGAUUUGGCCCUUUGCACUGAGAGCUUACAAACUUUUUUGCUUUGGAUCA
This 308-nucleotide long non-coding RNA is filed under the name Brassica napus (rape). RNAcentral's name for it is "long non-coding RNA (BNAP_LNC025164)". The record is from RNAcentral. Lineage: Eukaryota; Viridiplantae; Streptophyta; Magnoliopsida; Brassicales; Brassicaceae.